GCGCCCCGCAAGGGGAGCGGCAGACGGGUGAGUAACGCGUGGGAAUCUACCCUUUUCUACGGAAUAACGCAGGGAAACUUGUGCUAAUACCGUAUACGCCCUUCGGGGGAAAGAUUUAUCGGGAAAGGAUGAGCCCGCGUUGGAUUAGCUAGUUGGUGGGGUAAAGGCCUACCAAGGCGACGAUCCAUAGCUGGUCUGAGAGGAUGAUCAGCCACAUUGGGACUGAGACACGGCCCAAACUCCUACGGGAGGCAGCAGUGGGGAAUAUUGGACAAUGGGCGCAAGCCUGAUCCAGCCAUGCCGCGUGAGUGAUGAAGGCCCUAGGGUUGUAAAGCUCUUUCACCGGUGAAGAUAAUGACGGUAACCGGAGAAGAAGCCCCGGCUAACUUCGUGCCAGCAGCCGCGGUAAUACGAAGGGGGCUAGCGUUGUUCGGAAUUACUGGGCGUAAAGCGCACGUAGGCGGACAUUUAAGUCAGGGGUGAAAUCCCAGAGCUCAACUCUGGAACUGCCUUUGAUACUGGGUGUCUAGAGUAUGGAAGAGGUGAGUGGAAUUCCGAGUGUAGAGGUGAAAUUCGUAGAUAUUCGGAGGAACACCAGUGGCGAAGGCGGCUCACUGGUCCAUUACUGAC
Molecule: ribosomal RNA, 630 nt
Filed under: Ensifer adhaerens
Lineage: Bacteria; Pseudomonadati; Pseudomonadota; Alphaproteobacteria; Hyphomicrobiales; Rhizobiaceae
Description: bacterial SSU rRNA
Rfam family: Bacterial small subunit ribosomal RNA
Source: RNAcentral